This 1268-nucleotide long non-coding RNA is filed under the name Mytilus galloprovincialis (Mediterranean mussel). The record is from RNAcentral. Lineage: Eukaryota; Metazoa; Mollusca; Bivalvia; Mytilida; Mytilidae.
GUGUGGUUCCAGGUGGUGUCAUUGUAAGGUUAAUUAACAUUAUCUCCGUUUUUUUAGACUCUCAUUCAUAUUUUUCUUUAGAAGACAAAGCAUUGGCUUACAAUGUUGUCAUUAUUUGAUUUAGAUGCAUGACCUUUUUAUAAAUAUGCGUGGGUCUUGAAGUUAACCAAUUUUGGUAACUUAUCGACUUGUAGGAGUCAAAAUUUGCAACUUUUUGAUUCUGGUCAAUUAUUUCUUGCUUAACAAUAUUUGACUUAUUUAAGUCAUAUUUUGUCUUACAUUAAAGGGAGACAAAUCCUAAAACUUACAAAUUUAGACCUCUAUGAGUCAAAAGCAGAUUCAGACUUAUUUAUGUCUGAGCUCUGACUGAUAUAUAUGAAAUCAGGGACACAAAUAUUUUUUUUCCAAAUUAAAUAUUAUACCUGGUAUAAAACAUCCAACAGUAUAAGUGGGUCUAGUGGCGGAUCCAGAAAUUUUCAUAGGUGGGGGCCCACUGACCGACCUAAGAGGGCUCCAGUCAUGCUUCAGUGAUUCCCUAUAUAAGCAACCAAAUUUUUUCCCAAAAAGGGGGAGCCUGGCCCCCCCCCCUUAAUCCGCCUAUGGGGUCCACUUUUGAGUUGAACCCGAGACGUUCAUCAAAAUUCGUGGUGCCUCAGUAGCCUAUAUUUUGCAAUUUAUGGGGCAUUGAAAUUACAUGUGUACCCCCCUUUUUCGAGAACUUGCAAUCGGCAUGAAACGUGAUCAUACGUGCUUUCGAAUUUGAUUCAUUUUGGUCCGUAUUUUCAGUUAGAGAUUUACAAUGUUCUAUUAUCUGAGCAAAAAGUGAAAGCGUGAAUAUUUUCCAUGGAGAUCGUGAAGAACACCUUGACAAGUUUAAAAACGGAUGUUGACAACUUGUGUGGGUAUAAUAUUUCCGGAGACAAGUGCGGAUACCUUAGACCGAAAUCCGAAUGUAAUUCACCAGUAUAUAGUUGAUUCAAUACUAGUAUAUUAUAAGGAAAUGAUGAUAUAUUGGAUUUCAAUUUUCAUGUUUGAUUUUAUUUUUGCCGUUUAAAUCAUUUCUUUGGAUCCGACUUAUUUGAUAGUAAUUAACUAAAAUAUAUGGUAUAAACCAUUACCUUUUGUGUUAUUCAGCAUAAAGAUUAAGCAUCCAAGAAUGUCAUUAAUGCAACUUUUCAACAUGGAAUGCCAAAUCCAACGUCAAAUAAUGCGGCCAUUACGUGUUGACAACGUCGUCUAGUGAACCGUAUCACUGAGCGGCGAAAUCC